RNAcentral lists this small RNA (5053 nucleotides) under Pongo abelii (Sumatran orangutan). Its description in RNAcentral is "retained intron". Lineage: Eukaryota; Metazoa; Chordata; Mammalia; Primates; Hominidae. The record is from RNAcentral.
AGAGCCUCAUCCUUGAACGUGAAGGACGUUUGAAGACUGGCAUGAUCAUGGGAUGAGAUCACAGGGAACUUGAGUUUCUUUCCUCCUCUCCCUUCACAGUUAUUUCACUGAGGGAAAUCCCUCCCCUGCCCAGAAUGAAAACUCUAGCCAACUCUUGACUUUUCCAUCACUCCAAAGUAGUUGAAAGUACUUUAGUCUCCACAGUGGCAAAACACAGUGUGCAAAGGCUAAAUAAUUAGAACAGCCAGUCCCAUGUGACAGUCAAAGCUUCUAACUCCAUUCACAGUUGCAGCCAUUCCCCUCGGGGGGCUGGCAGGGAGGGGAGGGGUAAGAGAAACAGGAAGGUUCUUACUGAGUUGGUCCUGGUGUGAGCUGUGUCACACUCCCUGCAGAGGUUUCAAGGAGACUGUCUCUCUCUCCAUGGGGACCUUAUUUGAAUUCUUCUAGACUCUUCCCCCAGCCUGCCAUCUCCAGCUAUCCUCCCUUGAAGAGCCCUUCCACUGCGCUGGAUUCUGGUGGCCAUGUCAUCUCCUCAGCCCCGUGGGAGUCUGAAGAUCUGGCUGCAGCCUCACCUCUGAGGUCCUGCUGACUGCCACCUCUUAGACAUGAUCUGAGGCUCCCAGGCACUCUGACCUGUGCCCACAUGGGGCCCACGGGAAACACGCUGGCAAGCAAACUGUGGGUGUGCGGACGGUUCUCAGGGCUGCAGCACCUGUCCUUUGCUGUGCCCCCAAAGCAAGAGGCCAGCCCAUCUUCCAUCCUCUAGUGUUCCUUGGUGGGGCCCUGACCAUAGUCCACCAGGUCCCUAAGCAGAGGGGACACACACCAGGUGUCCUCAAUGUAUUGCCUUGAAACAGUUGUGCUGGGACUGUGAUGGGGGGUGGCCAUGUAGCCACUCCCACCACCCCCAAGCCACUCUUUCCACGGAAAUCCUCCUAAAGAUCCCUUUACACCCUCCAUGUGGUGGGGAGGUUCUAGAGUUGGGUGCAUGUGUCUUCAGCUACUGAUAAUGCAGACCUUAGUUGGCACCUCGCUCUGGCCUAUUCUGUUUGCUGUUCUUGGUGCUCCAGUGAAACUCCCCAUGGGCCAUCCAGUUGGGGUGCAGUGUGGCCACCCCCUUGCAGGAUCCUGCCUUGCUGGAGAGCACAGGGCCCUCCUGGCUCUUGUAAAACACUCCCCAGGGUACAGAGAGGCCAGCGGUGAUGUGAGGCCCAACCUCCACCAUGCCCUCCCUCCCUCCUUGGUGUUUCCAAGCAGCUCCCUUUCUGGGGUCAAGGGGUGGCAAAGACAGCGCAGCCUCCAAUUUCUGACUCACGCCGGGCCUGGCUAUUGCAGCUCUGCACUGUGUGUGACAGCAAGGUGACUCAGCCAGUGCCAUGGCAGUGACGGUGUCGGGGGAAGCCUCCUCACGCCCUCUGUCUCAAGGACUCUGGCAUUUAGCUGGACUUGCUGUCGCUCUGAGCCUUUCUGCCAUUGCCAUCACCUUGUCAGAAACUCAGGCCGAAUCUGCACUCAGAGUUGUGCCCAGGCAGUUGAGCCAACACUCGCUCAGCAAUAUUGUCACAUGACAAGGCACUGUCACCACUGGGCCUCGUGGGCAGCACAGUGUCGGCUGGAUGGAUCUGGAGGGUGUCUGUGUCAUGCUAGUGCUAGUGAUGGGAGCCCCGUGAGCCCAUUGCCCGCCCUCCCAUCCCCUCAGCAGCUGCCUGGGGACAGCCAAUGGCCUGGGUGUUUAUGAGGCUACCACAUGGCUGCCAGGAAACUCAAGAACCUUUCCCUUGCCUACACUCUUCACACAGGCCUGUGCUGGCCAGCGGUGGGGAUCCGGCAUUCCUGUCUUAGGUGCGGAGAGUGACUGACUCAUUUCAGGCCUGGGAGAUAAGACUGAUGGCCCAGCCAGCGAGAUGUAUGCAUUUCUCAGAGGCAGUGGCCUCUGUCAUUGUCCUCAGGAAAUGCUGGUGAUUCUGGUGGCCUGAGGUCAAUGCAUGUCAACAUGGCCAACUUGCCUUAUAAACUUUUUUUCUGGACAGUUGCGUGCAUUGUCCUGUAACAGUGUCCUGCUGUUUAUGAUGCAGAAAUAGGUGUUUUUAAAGCCUAUUGAUUUUGGUACUAUUAAUGUGGUCAGGAACUUUCUCAGUCUUUCUUGUUUGGGGUGAGCUGUGGCUUCCUAAACAGGAACCCAAGACACCCCCAAAAGCUGCUCACCAGCACUGCCAGCCUCCCUCUUACCAAGUAGUACCCAUUCAGGGCAUUCUGUGAAAGGCAUUUGCCCAGAAGUUGGGAGGAAGGAAAUGUAACAUUUUGGGGCACCUACCAUAUGCCAGGCACCAGGCUAAACGUGUUCACACAAAUUCUCUUACUAACCCUCACCAUCCUUCUACAAGACAAACUAGUAUCUUCAUCUUGGGGUUCUAGAUGAGGAAAUGGAGGCUCAGAGAGGUUGAAUGAAUGCUGGUGCCUGGACAUGAACCCCAUCUGCCUGACUCCGCAACGCAGGCAAAGUCUUUCCUUGAACUUCCCAGCAGCCACUGCUUAGACCCAGCCUCCAUGACCAUGGCUCAGCAACAAAUUGCUUCUCUGACCUCACUCAGCCUGUGUCCUUGUUGAGUGAGGCAUUCAGUACCCUGGUCCCAAAGUGGAGAAAGUCUUUCCUACUGGGUCAUAGCUACACCUACAUGUGGGUGCUGUGCAUUUUGUUUAGUGAACUUUUAUCACCAGCAUCCUCAGCAAUGACAUUUGCAGAGAAGCCAGAGCUGAGGCAUCUUGGUAUUCUUGGGAUGUGACUUUCCUGAAUGUUUUAGGGAAAAUACCCGAAGAUACAGAGAGCUUGGUUUCUAGUAAACAAUAACUGUCUUGCUUUUACCCCCCUUCAUUUGCUGACACAUACACCAGCUGAAGAAGCAGGCAUUGGAGACACCCCCAGCCUGGAAGACGAAGCUGCUGGUCACGUGACCCAAGGUCAGUGAACUGGAAUUGCCUGCCAUGACUUGGGGGUUGGGAGGAGGGACAUGGGGUGGGCUCUGCCCUGAAAAGAUCAUUUGGACCUGAGCCCUAAUUCACAAGUCCAGGAGAUUUUAGGCAGUUGGUUCUUAUCAAAGGUUGGCUACUCAGAUAUAGAAAGAGCCCUAGUGGUUUUUUUCUAAUACCAUUUCUGGGCAAUUCCUAAGGCAUUUAGUGUUCUGAAAGAUGCUAGCCUUGUCCCGCCUGGGAGUUGAGAAUGAAAGUCUAACAGAAACUCUAGGCUGAGCGCGUGGCUCACGCCUCUAAUCCCAGCACUUUGGGAGACCCAGGUGGGCGGAUCACCUGAGGUCAGGAGUUUGAGACCAGCCUGGCCAACAUGGUGAAAUCCUGUCUCACUACAAAUAAAAAAAUUAGCCGGGCGUGGUGGUGGGUGCCUGUAAUCCCAGCUACUCAGGAGGCUGAGGCGGGACAAUCGCUCGAACCCAGGAGGUGGACGUUGCAGUGAGCUGAGAUCACGCCAUUGCACUCCAGCCUGGGCAACAAGAGCGAAACUCCGUCUCAAAAAAAAAAAAAAGAAACUCAAAUAUGUGUGACGGGCGAUUCUCGCUGCAGGCUGCCCUCUGGCCGAUCCAGGAGCAAGGCCUUAACCAUGUCAUCCCCAAGCGAUUGCUUGUAAACUUUCAUCUGUGCAGCCUUCAACCCUUAUUAUGAUUUUCUUCUCAGGAACCAAACUGCUGUGUUCAAGAAAGGCAGCUUUGUGUAAUCAUUUAUCAUAAAUGUCUUAAGAACUUUAAAAAUCCUAGAGAUUCCUAACUUUAGGAAAUGGGAGACCUGUGGUACUGAUAUAACGUGGGCUGGGCUUGUUUUCUGUCAUUUGCUAGAUAAAUGAACUUAAGAGCCUACUGUAAAAUGUGGAAGCUUCUAGAUUGCAGAAGGGCUGCGAAGACGCUGUUCUUUUCUCCCGAGUGAUGGGAUCUGUCCAGUGUUUACAGCUGCCUCUGAGGCCAUCUGAUUCUAGGAGACUCUGCCUCGUUGAGGAUAUUUUGAGGCCUAACUACACAUUCCUGCCCCUAGAGAGGUCACAGCCUAUAGCAGGCUGACGUUUCUCAUCUCACAUGGCACACAAAGGUGCAUUUUCGUUCUCAGGCUAACAAAGAGCUUCAAAAACUAUUAGAAGGGGACGGUGGCUAUAAGAGAAGAACCUCAGUCGAUGUGUGAAAUUAACUAGAAACCUGGCUCCUGUUUCUUUUAGGUCAUGUUUUCCAGCUUAGGUAAAACUAGAGACUUUGAUAAAGCGUGACCUCUAGAAAUCAUUGCUUUUCAUAAAUAGAAGUGGGUUUGAGUUUUUUCUACUGAUUGUUAGUGCAGGCGAUGUCUACAUGCCCCCAGAACAUAUUCCAUGCAACAAAAAAAGCCCAGGUCACCAUCUUUGCUGGGAACUUGACUUUUGUGCUCACUGAAUUUUAAGCUUUCUGACAGCAGCCUGGAAUCAUGGAGGGAUAAAGUACCUAUUAGUAAGAUGGAAAAAGAUGUUUCAGGUUGGAGCUGCAGUCUGUUGAGAGUAAGCUAUGGGAAGGCCUGUAUACGAGGGGUGGACUUUUCUUCUGUAAGUGUCCAGAGACCAGGCCUCCUGAAGAGGGCAAGGGGGCUUAACUUACCUGGACUACUGUGUUUACAAUACUCAUUUAUCUCGAACUCCUCCUAACCCCUGAGAAUUGCUACAUUUAAUAUUUGCUGAGUACUUCCUAGCAUCCUAGGGAAUCAAUAGAACAUUCUCCCAACCAGGCUGGGUGCGGUGGCUCAUGUCUGUAAUCCCAGCACUUUGGGAGGCCAAAGUAGGCAGAUCCCUUGAGGUCAGGAGUGUGAGACUGGCCUGGCUGACAUGGUGAAACCCCGUCUCUACUAAAAAUACAAAAGUUAGCCAGGCGUGGUGGUGCACACCUGUAAUCCCAGCUACAUGGGAGGAGUAGGAGGCAGGAGAAUUGCUACUGAGGCAGGAGAAUUGCUUGAACCUGGGAGGUGGAGUUUGCUGUGAGCCGAGAUCAUGCCACUGCACUCCAGCCUGGGCAACGGAGUGAGUGAGACUCUGUCU